RNAcentral lists this small nuclear RNA (166 nucleotides) under Phaethon lepturus (White-tailed tropicbird). RNAcentral's name for it is "U2 spliceosomal RNA". It matches the Rfam family "U2 spliceosomal RNA". Rfam says of the family: U2 is a small nuclear RNA (snRNA) component of the spliceosome (involved in pre-mRNA splicing). Complementary binding between U2 snRNA (in an area lying towards the 5' end but 3' to hairpin I) and the branchpoint sequence (BPS) of the intron results the bulging out of an unpaired adenosine, on the BPS, which initiates a nucleophilic attack at the intronic 5' splice site, thus starting the first of two transesterification reactions that mediate splicing. Lineage: Eukaryota; Metazoa; Chordata; Aves; Phaethontiformes; Phaethontidae. The record is from Rfam by way of RNAcentral.
AUCACGUCAGGGUUACGGUGUCAUCAAGUGUAAUAUCUGUUCUUAUCAGUUUAAUAUGAUACGUCCUCGAUGAGAGGACUUCAUAUUAAACUUUUUCUUUUUGGUUGUCUUGCCCCUCUCGGGAGGGCUGCAGCCUGAGCGGUGGGACUUGAUGGCGUCAGCCACA